This 13693-nucleotide long non-coding RNA is filed under the name Arabidopsis lyrata. Its description in RNAcentral is "long non-coding RNA (ALYR_LNC001651)". Lineage: Eukaryota; Viridiplantae; Streptophyta; Magnoliopsida; Brassicales; Brassicaceae. The record is from RNAcentral.
UUUUCACUAGAACAUGGAAGUUUUAUUAGAACUGAAACCAGAAAUUACACACGCCGGCAAAGUUCGAGAUGACACUUUCCGGAUACAAAGCCGGCAAAGCUCAAGAAGACACUUUCUGGACACAAAGCCGGCAAAGCUCGAGAUGACACUUUUCGGACACAAAGCCGGCAAGAUACGAAACCUUCCGGAACCAAAGCCCCACACACAGGAAAACAUUAGACCCAAAAAGGGCACGGUCAUAGACCCACAAAGGGCACAACGAUAAAAGAUAAAAACUAAUUAUACAAUCUGAACAAAGGAGCUAAACAAACAAAUCCACAAAUUGUUUCAGAUUUCUUCUUUUUGCCAAUUGAAUCCGAGAUCGGAAGCUAUCUUCUAGUCUUCUUUCUUCACCUGAAGCUAUCUUCUGGUCUUCUUUCCUCACCUGAUAAUAUAAAGACUUCAAAAUUUAAAAUUUUGAGCAUCCUUAAGUCGGCAAAACGGUGAAACCUCACUAGAGGCUUGACAACACCGUAUAUGGAAGCCUGGGCCGGAAUAAUCGAGCAAAGCGACAUAGAUCCAGUAAGAGGAGCCAAGAACUGAUCAGAUCUCGUCCAGAUCUGAGAGUUAGUUCGAGUGGAGGAGACUUAAAAUUAGGCCGCCCAAAACCGAUUCACCACCCACUGCAAGAACCAAGGAUGGCUACGGGUCGACACGGUUAGAGCCAUGGAAACUUUUGACGCUUGGGAGAAGAAGAGACAAUAGUAAAAACGAAAGCUCUCUAAAUUCAGAUCUAAAACUAAAACAAACUGAAGCCGGACAAAACGAAAAUAAGCUGGAGACAAAAGCAAGACAAAAAGCCGAUUCCGACGCUGUGAAAGCCGCCCAAAGCCGGAGAUCUUAACGAAGAAAGCUUAGAGAGAAGGCACAUAAAAUUUUAAAAAAAGAGAAAGUAAAUUGAUUAGUUUGUUUGGUUUAGCUUAAUUGAAUUGAACAUACAUUAUGUAUCAAAUAAUUAAUAGGAAUAUUUUUGUUUAUUCAAAAAUAAUUGGAAUUUAUAUGAACUAAGCCUUUAAAUAUCUAAAAAUUAUUGAAUAAAAUAGAAAAUUUAUGUUUUAGAUUAAGGUGUUCAAUCCGGUUUUGUUUUUGAUUAUUCGAUCUCUCGAUUUUUCGGUCUAUAAGUAAAGGUAUCCAAAAAUACAUGGUUGAAUUUUUAUAUAAUAUUUUGCAAUGAUAUUUAUAUGAAUGUGAUUUACUUCGAUACAAGUUUUCUCUCUCGACAUGUGUUCGUCUAGAAUUUUUUUAUUGCAUUCAUUUUUACGUUUAAAUAAUAACUUAUUUGGUAGUAUAUUUUAAUUUAUUCUAACGGAUGAGAUGCUAAGACUAUCCGCAACGCAGGUUUCUUACAACAUUUUUAAGAUUAAAAUAUUAAAAAGAAAUAGAAAAAGAAGAGAGAACAAGAGAUGUACUUGAUUUAAGGUAUUUAGAGCACCUCCAACGGAGGUUUUUCAAAGGAUGUCUAAAGAAUUUAAAAAAAAAAAAAAAAAAGUAAAAGAGAGAAUGAGAAACAUUUCUCAUUUGAGAAACUGUGUCUAACAUCUAACAUCAUUUGAUUGGUUAAAAAAAAUUUUAAUUAAUAAAAAUUUAAAUAAAUAAUUUAUUUAUUACAAAAGCAUUAAAUUAUUAUAUUUGAGAAACUUCUAUAGUUUCUCACCGUUGGAGAUGUUCUAAAGCUAUUAUACUAAAAAUUUCUCUUCUUUCCUUUUUCUGUCUUUUAGUGGCCUGUUUGUUUUAGGGCUGGGCAUUCGGGUACGCGGGUCGGGUUCGGGUAAAACUCGAUCGGGUACGGAUCCUUCGGGUAGAGGAGUUUAGGACCCAAUAGGGUAAAUCUAAAAUAUCGGUUCGGUUUCGGUUCGGAUCCAAUCGGGUUCGGGUCGGUUCGGGUUUAGAAUUUCAGAACCGCUAAAUACCCGAAAAGUUUGGAUACCCAUCGGGUUCGGGUAUAUUAUACCCGAUUAUACCCAAAUAACCGAAAUUUUACUCUAAUACCAGAAAUUUUACACAAAUACCCGAAAUUUUUACCCGAAUAUCCGACUUUUAAUCGAAAUUUUAUCCGAAUAAUCGGAAUUUUGUCCAAAAAUCUGAAAAACUUACAAAUAUCUCGUGUAUAAAUAUAUUUAGUCUUAUGUAUUUAAAUAUAAGUGCAUUUAGUUUUUGGUAAUUACUCUAGCAUAUUUGGAUAUAAACUUAUUUAACUCGAAUAUUAGAUAUAUAUAAAAUUUUAUAUGUAUAAGUAUAUGUAAUUUCGGGUAAUCGGGUACCCGUUCGGGUAUCGGGUUCGGAUCGGAUUUUACCCUAUACCCACGGGUACGAUGAUACAAGACCCAAUAGAGUAAAUAGCUAAUAUCCGUACCCGCCCCGAACCGAUUUUUUCGGAUCGGUUUCGGUUUGGGUUUUCGGGUCCGGGUUUUUUGCCCAGAUCUAGUUUUUUUUAAUAUUAAAAUACUAAUAUUAAAUUAUAAGAAACUCAAAAAUCGAUAAUACAGACAAGAAGGAAUACCUCCUCAGAUGUUCAAAAACGUAAUUGCUGCGAGCUACGCAGAAUUCUCUUCUAUGAGACAGAAGGUGAAAACCAUGUCUUUUUUGAAUGUUUAGAGUUUUAUUUAUUUUCUAACUUGUAUUUGAACGAUACUCCUUUUAGGCAUCAAUUGGAAUCAGAUAUGUUUCAAGAUUAGGGUGAUUUCAUGAUAUAUUAAUUUUCAACCAAUUUCCCUUACGAUGAUUUACAGACUUUGAAUGGAAUUAGAAGAUCCUUUUGUGUGGCCUUGUCCUUGAUGGCUUUUUGUUGCUUGUCUACUAUAUAGUGUUUAAAUUCUUCUCUUCAAGUUAUUAAGGGUUUUCUGCAAAACAACACUCUAAGUCAAUUUUGUUUGCAAAUUUACCCUCCAAAUCCGAAUUUUGCAAGUCAACUCCACAAUCUCAAAAGUCACCCGCAAUACUGCCCUCCCGUGUAGCGAUGACGUGGCACUCGAUAAUUCCGUUUGAAAACAUAAGGAGUUUUUGUUAAAAAAACUCUCCAUGUAAUUUUUUUUGCAAGACAAACCUCCAUUUCAAAUAAGUGCAGGUCAAACCACAAUCUCAAAAGUUACCUGCAAUAUAGCCCUUUCGUAUAUCGAUGACGUGGAAAUCGAUAACUCAUUUUAUGUAAUGUAGAACUAUCAUGCAUCUCGAGGUUCAACUAGGUUAAUUCCUCCUUAGCUAAGGAACGUUCCUUAGCUUAUUAAGGUAUUAACUAUUUAAUUUAAAUCACUUUAAUACCUAAGAGGUGCCACGUGUCACGUUUUGAUUGGGUGGAUUUCACAUAUUUUACAGAUACGCCUUCUAAUUUCUUCGAUAAUAGAGCUCGAGUUCGUGAUCGAGGUAUGCAUCAACAAUUGAAGAAUGUUUUGGUCGAGCAUAUAUGGACAAAAUAUAGAAGAAAUUAAGUUUAAAAUAUUUGUGAUUUAUGUUAUAAAUUGUAUCUCAUGUAUGUUUUAAUUUUUUUAAUUUGCAACAAUUAUUAAAUUUUCUAUAAUUAUAAAUUUUAUUUUUAUAUUAAUAUUUUUUUUUCUAAGAACCACAUAUUAAAAAUCUACCAUUAAUCACACAAAAAUCUUAACUCAAAAAUACUAUCUCUUAACAAUCACUUUUACAAAUAAAUUAUUUAAAUAUUACUAAGAUUUAUCUCUAAGAAACUAAUUAUAAUGAUGCUCUAAUAAAUCUUAAGACAAAGACUUAAUCGUACAAAAAUUAAUAAGUUAAUUUUCCUCGUGGAUAGACAAAAGUAACACUGGUCAACAUUUUCCACUAACUUUUUAAACACUUUAUACUUAUCCUAUCAUUGCAUACAUAUUGCAUUGCGAGAGAAUUCACAUGCUAUGUGAUGAUGAUAGCUUAGCAUCUACAUAUCUUGAUAUAUUAUUACUUAUAUGCCUCGGGAUCUGAUUCUCCUAACUCAAAACUACUUUGAUAUACUCCCUCCGUUUCAGUUUAGUUAUCGUUUUAGGAUUUAAAUUUUGUUUCAUAAUAAUUGUCGUUUUAGGUUUUCAAUGCAAAUGUUUGGUGAAAAUUCCAGUUUUAUCCCUACUGUUUUAAUGUUUUGGCCAAUGAUUUUUUUUAUAAAAUAUAUUAAUAAAGGGUAAAAUAGAAAAUUAAAUGCUUUUCUUAAUUUGUGUGAAAAAACCUUAAACGACAACUAAAACGAAACGGAGAGAGUAUUAUAUAGUGGUGGUCCAAACAAAAUUUUGAUCUUGUGAUGAUCAUAUUUUGAAUAAAAGUGUGAUUUAUUAGUCUUUUUUUUAUGUUUCCUUGAUGAAUGAAACUCAAUGUGCAAGAGUGCUUUCUCGUAAGUGGAUAGCCACGAGAAAGUUACACUCGCAAUUAAAAACAUUUGUAGUGAUAGUUAUAUGUUUUCCAUUACUUUUGGUUAAAUUUACCAUUUUCAAACACGUAUAUAAGAGUUCAAAAAUAAAAUAGUAAGUAGAUGAAGUUUCAGACUUAAUUUAUGUAGAAAUUUGGAUAGUAAUUAUCAAUUGGUUUUUACCGAAAAGUAAAACAACGAUUAACUAGUUUUUCACUUGAGAUCAGUGAUUUCAACUUUUUAUCUCUCUCUUUAUUAACAUCUUUACAUUUUAUUUUGGGUAGGAUAUUAACAUCUUUACAUUAGUAAUUGGGUUUAAUAACUUAAAAUUCCACUUGUAAAUUGAUAGAAUUUAUUCGGUGUUAAAAUGUAAAUUCAACCAAGAGACCAAGAAAAUUCUAUUCAGAGUUGAAAUUCAUAUUAAUUACGGAUUUAAAACUUAUGAAUACUCCAUCUUGUUACUACUUGACUCAUGUUGUAUCUGGCAGUAUUAAAUUUUAAAGAAAAAAAAGUAGAUAAAUAUAAAAUUUUCUUUUAGCAUAUGUAAAACCAAAAACGGACACUAUUUAAUUUGAGAACGUAAAUAACACCAAAUUAUCUAAUUUUUAACUAUGUGUAAAUUUUAUUAUAAGAUUGUAAUAUAGAAUUAAAAUUUUAAACUUAAAUUUUAUUUGACCCCUAUUUUGAAAUAUGAUAAUAUUUGAAUCUAUAAAACAAAUUAAAGAUCUACCACGUGUACAAAACUAAAAAUCAUAUUAAGCGUUUGUGGUGGUUACUAAAAAGUAAAAACUAAGUAAUGUAAAAUAAAAUUUAAUAAACGGAACUACGUAUUCCUCUUAUGUCAUUUUGUUAUUGGGAAAAUGUUAUCAAAAUCCCCAACUUGUUAUUGAAAACAUGAUUUAAAUUUUCAACUCCCAACCAAACGAAAUAAAUAUCAAACUUAUGUUGACCUUCCAACUAAACAAUAAAUUUUUAUUGAUCUGGUAAUAUUAGACAUAAUGUUAAGUUAGUUAACAGAUCCCUUUAACGAAGUUAAUAUUCUGUUGAUAGACCCAUUAAUUGAAAACGAUAAUGUUUCCUCUAACGACUAAACGACGCCGUUUAAUCGUAACGGCUCAAUUAAAGACGAUUAUUUUUUAGUAAUACACGAUUUUCGAAUUACUAAAAAAAAUGAUUAUUUUUUAGUAAUACACGAUUCUUAUUAAGAUUGCAUGUGAAUUCUUUUUAAAAAAAAUUCUAUUUAGAUUAAUUUUUACAUAACAAUGUUUUUUCUUAAAAAAACACUACGUAACAAUGUUUUUUCUUAAAAAUUCACUAUGUUUUUUGAAAUAUCAUGUCUUUUAGUCAAAUAUAACAUACGAAAUUUAAAUGGUACAUGCUAUUUUGAAAAAUCUCACGAAACUGUCUCGCAUAUCGUUGAUCUCGCAACAAACAAAGGAUAGUUUUGGUAUUUCACAUCAUUCGACAACGUGGAUCCAUGGCUAUUUUGCAACAAAAACUUUUUCUCUGCUAUUUUCAUAAUUUGAGUGUUUUAUUCGGCUAUUCUCUAAUAUUACCCAUAAAUUUAUACGUUUAUAGGUCACUUUCCUUUUUAACAAUGGUCCCUCUUUAGCCUCACGGUUAAUAGACUCUCCGAGAAAAGUCAUUAAAAAGUUGCCAGCUUCUUCAUUCCACUUUCUCUCCACCACUUUCACCUGAAUCCCACGUCACUCUCUCUCUAAAACUCCAUAAAGCUCAAACCUUUUGUCAUUCUCUCUCUCGAAAACUCACAAUCUUUUUCACACUCUUCUUCAUGUUCAAGCAAUGGGAAAUCUCUGUUCUUUGUUUACUCCGCCAAAACCCGUGAAAAAACGAAAACCCAUCACAAAAAGACAAUCUUCCAUUGGAGUUUCUUCUUCCGGGUCGGGUCUUAAUAGUAACCGUUGGAACAACCGGGUCAGAUCAUCUUCUUCUAGAAGAGACAACAAGUUUGAAGAUGCUGUGAUUCAAGAACAUGCUCUUGCUGCUGCUGCUGUUUUGUUCCGACAGCAAAACGGCGGUGGAUCGUUGCCGUUUGAUCGGUCGGCUUCGCAACGUUAUCAAGGUUCUUGUUCGAAGAAGAAUCAGUUGCCUCGAAGCUCAAGUUCGAGGUCAAGGUCUUCUACGGAUCCUCUGUUACAACCUCAUCAGUUUCUUAAUCAGGUUCUUUUCUUCUUCUUGAUUCUUACAUUGCUUUGACUUCAAUAAUGAUGUGUAUUGAUUAGUUUUCUUUCUUGGCAUUAAAUGAAGAAUCUUGAAUUCUUGGUUGCUCAACUUAUUUUAGUGGUUACAAAGCUAUGUGAGUCUUUUAUAGUAUAGUUUCUUUAAUUCUUGUUGGCUCAACUGAUUUUAGAUGUUGAGUCUUGAAACUUCCUGACUUUAUUUUUGUUUCAUUGAUUAUUGUCAAUGGUGUGAAUGUGGUGACAAUGAGAUUAUAUUGUUACAUAGAGGUAGACGAUUUCGAUGUCGAGGUUGAGAGUAUUAUCUUAAUCAAAAUUCAAGCUUGAAACACUAUCUUCAUGUGUUGUUGUUUUUCUUGUGGGGCGAAUCGAAUCGAUCAUUUUGUGGGCUAGAAUGUCUUAAUGUGGGAAAUAUAGUCAAAAUUACUGUCGAACGCUCUAAUGUGUGUUCGAUUUGCGGGCCUAUCUUUCGUGUAGAGCUGUCCAUGUAUAGUGUUUUUGACAAUUUGUUCACCUUAAUCUUGUAUAGAUGGUUCAAUUUGUGUUUCCCCUGACAGCCAAACAAAUAAACCUCACCGUCCUGCAAAUAGGAAAUGUUUCAUUCUUUAUGUGGAAGUUAAAUUCUUUUUAUUGGUCUUGGAAUAGGGUGUGAAGGUAGAUGACUUGGAGACAAACCAUUUUGUUCUCAUCCAUGGAGGGGGUUUUGGUGCUUGGUGUUGGUAUAAAACCAUUGCACUUCUUGAGGAAGAUGGUUUUAAAGUUACUGCUAUAGACUUAGCUGGUUGCGGUAUUAACUCGAUUAAUAUAAAUGGCAUUGCUAGUUUGUCUCAGUAUGUGAAGCCACUUACCGAUAUUCUUGAAAAGCUUCCCAUAGGAGAGAAGGUUCUGUUUCUAUUUGCCUUCGACUUCUACUCUUUUCCCUCUACUUUCCGAAAACUGGAACUCUUUCCUUGUGUGUAAAAUUGCAGGUGAUCUUGGUUGGUCAUGAUUUUGGUGGAGCUUGUAUAUCUUAUGCUAUGGAAAUGUUUCCUUCAAAGAUUUCGAAAGCGGUUUUUCUCGCUGCAGCGAUGUUGACUAAUGGUCAAAGUACACUCGAUAUGUUCUCCUUGAAGGUUUUCUUUCUCACUUAUCUUUUCCCAUGUUUCAAGCUUUGUGCCGCGCCAGAGACUAAUUCUGUUUACGACACACUUUGCAGGCCGGUCAGAACGAUUUAAUGAGAAAAGCUCAGAUAUUUAUCUACACAAAUGGUAAUGAAAACCCUCCAACCGCCAUUGACUUAGAUAAAUCUCUUCUCAGAGACCUUUUGUUCAAUCAAAGCCCUUCAAAGGACAUUGCAUUGGCCUCUGUUUCAAUGAGGUCAAUCCCAUUUGCGCCGGUUCUUGAGAAACUCUCUCUCUCAGAUGCUAACUACGGAUCAGUUAGACGGUACUACAUAGAGACGCUAGAAGACAAUGCUAUUCCAAUGACUGUCCAAGAAAACAUGAUUAAUAGUAGUCCACCUGAAAAAGUUUACCGGUUAAAAGGCGCUGAUCAUGCUCCUUUCUUUUCUAAGCCACAAGCUUUGCAUAAACUUCUGCUCGAGAUUGCCAGAAUCAGCUCUACUUAACCCUAAGUAGCUUCACCAUUAUUCACUAACUGGUGUUCUAAAGUGGCUUCAUGAGAUCUCUCUUCCUUUUUAGUUUUUUUUUUUGUUUCAUUUUGUGAUUUUGUUUCUGUAUCUUUUGUUGGUUUUUAUCAUGAUUAUUUUCUGUCUUUCUUCUUCUUGUUCUGUUUUUACCAGAAAUAAAAUGUUUAUAGAAAAAUCAAUAUACUUGCUAUGGGACAUGAAAUUAAAAUUUGUUUUAUUGUAACCAGAUGAUCAUCAAGAUCCUGAAGAAUGGAUCUUCCAAUUCAUCAAGAAAGUUUCACUGAUUUGCUUUCUUUAUUCAGUUGCUCUUAUCGACAUAACUCCUUGUGUAUGUGUGUGAAGGUGUUUAGGAUAAAAUUUUGGCUUGCAUAUGCAAAAGGAUAAUAAGAAAAAAUUUCAACAAAUUAAACAUUACUUUCACACUUUACAUUUUUGAAAGUCAAUGCAAAUUGCAACUCCAAUCCAAAGUGAAAGCAAUGGGCCUAAGAUAUAUCACAACCAAAGUGAUAAUAUAUGUAGAGGCCACUAUAUAUGUUAAUUUGUAUAUCUUUCUUUAUUCAUGAAAACAAUACAAAAGGAAUCAUUUCUAAAUGAGGUAAACUUAUUUUAAAAAGCUAAACGUAAAAUAAAACGAUAUGCUAAUGCUACCUAAUAUAUCAUUGAGCUUCAAAAAAAUCAAAAACCAAAAUUUUUUUAGAGUAACUGCAAUCAUAUUUCUUGACUAUAAGAAAAAAAAUGGUGAAAUCAAAGAAAUAAUAAACAUAAUAAAUUGAUCUCAUGAGUUUUAGUGUUUGGAGGUUUAAUGACUCGAUCCAGAACCAUGAGCUUAAAAGUAACGGAUUCAAAUUGUUAGUAAAGAGCUUGCCAAACUAAACGGAGCUUGAUGAUAACAAAUAGAAGCUGUGAAACUUGAAGAUCUCUUAUCAUAUCAAUUAAAGAAACUUUUUUUCUAUGUAUCUCAUCAAUUUGCACCACCGAACCCAAAAAUUGCAGCUAUACAAGAAGCUUUCUAAAGGUCCAAAGACUUGUUUUGAGCUAGAUUAUUCAAGGCAAAACCAAUACUUUCCAUUUUAAAAACACAACUGAAUUCAUUUUCUCUUGGUUUAGUCCCACUAAAGAAACCGAAUUUAAGUUGAGCUAAAGACCUCGACAAUACUCAUGGGUGUGUAUAGCCACUCACCAGAUUUGAUAAUAGACCUAAAGGCCAAAGUGUAGCACCAUUUCAACAUACAAAUGUUAAUAAAAGAGAUCUAAUGAAAAUCAAACAUAAGGGUAAGGGAAUUGAUACCAUACUUUCAAGUCUUUUACCACUAGACUAGCUACUACUACCAAUUAGUUAACAAGAAAAUCUAGACUUUGUAACUCAUCAAAGUAAAAAACGAAAUCAUUAAAAGAUAGAAUGGUCGCAGGUUAUACAAACAAAUUGAAAAAGAAAACUUCAUAGUUUUGUUUUUACUAAUUCAUAACUAAGAAAAUAGGAUCCAAUUUUUACAAGGGUAUCAAAACAUACUCACCGCUACUAUAUAAUAUUUGAAGUCAAUUCCCAACUGCAAUUAUUAGACCAACAAGACAAUAAUUCAUAAAUCUAAUAAACAAUGUUGCAUAAAGAUAUAUGAUGAGAGGGUUAUUGUUAUGUUCUUCCUCUCAAUACACAUCUCCAAAGUCUUACCUUUAGACAUGGCCAAAUCAUUUUUCUCUGUCUCCUUCUUCUUCACCGUCUCUCUUCUCUUUCUCCUCACGGCGGCUUCAGCAACCGCAUUUGCAGAGAACGUUACUAGUGAGUUGAGAUAUGAUGGAUGUUCUCCUGGAGACACCGUUGGAGAAUGCAUAACCGCGGCGGUUGAGGAUGAUGAUGAAGGAGUUGAGGCGUUGGUGCGGCGGAUUCUUCAACAAAAAAGGUAUUUAAGCUACAAAACUUUGCAGAAGCAGCCGACUUGUGAUGGAAGAAUUGCCGGUAAUUGCAUAGGAACUGUUAAUCCAAAAGGUUCAACUUGUACUUACUACCAAAGAUGCAAACGUGCCGCCUAGUUGUUUCUUUGUUUUUACAAUUGUAUUUUUUCUAUGUAAACUGUUUCUUCUUAAUAAUGUGUGUUUUAUUUAUAUGUAAAGGAAUUUUUUUAUUAAAAUGUAAAAGAAAUUAAAGCAACAAUAAGAAAGUUGGUCGGUUGGAAAAAAAGUGUUGAUCAAGUUCAAUGCAUAGAACGUUUCUAUAUAUAUAUGUGUAUAAGAACUUUUCAAUCUAUUUAAGAGUUUAAAACAUGUUAUGCAAAUGCAACCGGAUAUCCAUUAAUUGCGAGAUUGACAAUAGCUAUUAAAAUACAAAUUCGUACAUAACUAAAAAGAAAACUUUGCAAAUGAAAAUUAAAAAUACAUAUACAUGAAACAAAAAACAAUAAAAUUAAAGGAAAUGAGAUUACUUAUAUAUGCAUAUAAACAAGGCCUAAUAUGGAUAAAUAUUCGAACCUACAGUACUAUUACUUUGUUUACUUGAGAUCAUUUUAUGCGUCUAUUGUUUUGCAAAAUUGUUUUGACGCAUAUAUAAUAUAUAUAUAUAUAUAUAUAUAUAUAUAUAUAUAUAUAUAUACAAUUAAUUGAGAAUCAUUAGAUAUUAAAUAACCUUAUGAAGGGUAAAAUAUUACAUAAGAUGCCAUUGUUUUUUAGUGUUUUUAAAUAAAUUCAUUAAGGCUACAAUAGUAAUCACAAAAUUAAUAUAUUUAAAUUAAAAUAGUAAAAUUCUUUUAAGUAAUUAUUAGUUUCCAAAGAAUUAUAUUCACAUUCUCUCUCUUAUUAAUUAUAGACGAAAAUUUGUAAUUAAUUUCUAAAAAAUUGUUAACCAAUGAGAAUCGAAAAAGUAAGAUUUGAUAUCCAACUAAGAUUUUAUCUAAACCAAUACCAUUACACUAUUCUAUAUAUAAAAAAAGUAAUAUUAUUUUAGUUCAAAAUUAAAAACACUAUCGUUUAAAACAUUUUAUCAAUGAAAGAUUUUAAGUUUGAAUUUUAAAUUUCGUAAAAAACUCAAAUACAAAUAUUUUCACAAAUUUUCACAAAUUUUGAAAUAUAAAACGAAAUUUUAUUCACAAUUUGUAAAAAACGAUAUUAGAUAUUAACAAAUAUUUAUAUUAACUAUGAAAUAAACUCAAAUAAUAAUAAAUUUAAAGUAAUUAUCAUUAUGAUCUUCGUUUAGAGCAAGUUUCGGAAAUAUCUAAUAGGGAAAUUGUUAAAAAUACCUCUUUUGGUGUGCCCUUUUUAGAUGUCCAUUUUCAAAAAUGCCCCUUUUAAAAUCUGAAAUUUUUAUAAAGUUUUAUUAGGUUUAUAAGGUACUUAUAGAUUGUAACUACUACUUGAAGACUCGAUCCAAGUAUUUAUAUGGUUUUAUAAGGUGUUUUUAAAGGUUUUACAAGUUAUUUUAAAGAAUUUUUAAAGUUUUUCAAAGGUUUUACAAGAUAUUUUAAAGGUUUUUAAAGGUAUUUAAAAUGCAUUUAUAAGGUAUUUAUAAAGUAUUUAUAAGAUUUUAGAUACAUAGAAAUGUAGUUUGUGUAUGUUUUAAUAAUAUUACAUACAUAUUUGGGUAAAUCUUAUAUUUUUAAGAACAUUUUUUAUAAGGUUUUUAAAAAGGAGUAUUUUUGAAAAGUGGCAUUGAAAAAGUGGCAUUUUUGCAAAAGCCCCUAUAUAAAUUGUACAUAUUAAUUUUGAAACAUUUUGUGUUUUAUUUUUUACUUUCCAACCGAAUCUUCCUUGAAUAAAUCCAUAAUAUACUGCACACAAUUUUCGAAAUAAUGUAAACUAAUUAUAUAUUUUGUAUUUAUGCAGCAAUAGCAUAUUCCUUUUAUAGAUGUAUCUCAAAUUUUAAUUUUUAGUCCAAAAAUUGAAUUAAUGAUGAUUAAACAAUGAAAAGAAGAAUAUGCAAAAUUUAGCUAAGGAAAGAAACAUUAAUAAAUUUGUUAAAAUAUACAUUAAUAAACAUUAACAGCAUACAUAUUAAUCCGCAAAACUCACAUUAUAUAUUAUAUGGUAUUUAAAGGUAAGCAAACAAGAAUUUGGAACAAGAUUUUAAUGGAAUAAAAUGAGAAUAUGAAUUACUAGACGGGAUGAGAGGGGAACAUAAACUAAAAAUCAAACUAAAUACCAAAUUGGUAUGAGUUCGGAUUAUGAGCACUAUAUAAAAUAAAUUUGUUUACACACAUAACUCUGUACGUACGUUUUCAGUUACACAUAUUCUAUUUAUUACGAAUACAGGACCGUAAUAUUUUUAUUUCACGUAUACGAGACUGGUUAUGAGACCAAAAAUAUAUGACAGAUACAGGACGAGAUAGGUUUCCCGUUCCAAAAUAGUUACGCCUAACUAAUAUACAUGAAAUAACUCAAACUAAAACCGAAUCCAUUCAUAUUUAACACAUGUAAUCAAAAUGUUAGAAAUAUUUUAAUUAUAUAUAGUUUAGAAAAUAAAAUGGUAACAUCACUUAACUUUUGCAACUAAAUUAUAUCUUAAUUUUAUUUUAAAUAUAAUUUUGCAAGUACGUAUAUGUCUGGAUCUUAAAAUGUAACUAUGUACUAACGCAACUGAAUUUCGUUCAUUACUCUAAUUUUAUAAUAUCUAUACUAUUACAAAGGUCACUAACACAACAAAAUAUUUUCUAUUUUUAAAAUCUAUAUAACAAUUUCUAAAAAAAUAGCUUUGCACGUCCGUGUAGAUCAUGAUCUAAUACACUAAAAUAUAUAUCACAAAAAUAAAAAAGUAAUCUAUAUUAAAUUAAAAUUUGUUAAAAAAAUUUAAAAUAUGAAACUCCGCACGUACGUGCGGGUCAUGAUCUAGUAUAUAUAUUAUAUAUGGAGAAAGUACACUGCCAAAUCUGGAAAAACUCUUAAAAUGAUUUUAACUAAUGAGAAAGAAAGUUUCCAAUAAGUUAGGUUAACUGAAACUUAUUUUCUCAUUAUCUAAAAGACUAAGACCAUUUCCAUUGGUUUUUUUUAAGAAGUUCUUAGCAUUAAUUUUUAUAAAAAUUAAAUGAAUAAUUAUUUUAAAUCUUGAGAACCAGCUAUUAUAUAAUAGCCAAAUAACCAGUUCUUAUCGUUAAUUUUUAGUAUUUCUCUAUAUUCUUCUUUUUGAGAACCCGCAAAAUUCGACCCAAAUUCGAAACCGAAAAUUUAGAUUUACCCUAUUGAGUCCUAAACUCAUAUACCCGAAAACUCGAACUCGAAUGUAACUCUCCGAUUUCAGGAAUAUGGUGGUGCAUGCGGAGAGGUUUAUAAGAAUUUAUUUGGCCACCUAUGUCACCAAAGUGUACUUAUCUUUUCGGUCAACUUUCCUGAGAGAACUCCACAGUUAAGCGUGCUUGGGGUGGAGUAGUUUCAGGAUGGGUGACCUUCCAGGAAGUGAUUGUCGGAACUGUGUGAGUGAGGACAAAACACAGGGAAAGAUCAUAUGGUGAUUUGUAGGGUCGGUAAACAAGUCUUUAAAGCCUCCCGGACGUAGCGGACCGGCCGUCGGAC